Molecule: long non-coding RNA, 1569 nt
Organism: Xiphophorus couchianus (Monterrey platyfish)
Lineage: Eukaryota; Metazoa; Chordata; Actinopteri; Cyprinodontiformes; Poeciliidae
Exons: 2
Source: RefSeq, a predicted model, not a curated record
GCUUCAAGUUGUUUGCUCUCAGGCGACAGAAAACAACCUCCAGCCUCCUUAACGACUCCUCCUCAGACGGUGCAAAUACCAACAGGUCGUCUAGAUAGCAGAGGAGGCUGGAAAACUGAGGAACGAUCACAUGCUAAAGCAGCUUGGGGAAAACGGACAGCAAAUGGUGUAGCAUCAGCUGACAACGUAGCACUAGGCGUUUGAGCACCAAGCUGAGGAAGACAAGAGAGAACAGGGCCUGCAGACGAACCAAGAGUCCUAUUUGUAGUGACCAUCGGCUUCCUAAGACUUGCAACACGGUUAUCAAGGCGGCUCUGGACCUCAGCAGUAGUCCACUCCUCCACAGGUUUCAGCUGGAAGGAAAAAGCUAGACCGGGAUCAGGACAAUGGUUGAUGAACAUUGUAACAACUUCAGCUCCUGGAUCCUCCACCUGCUUCCCCCUCCUACGCAAACACUCAUCAGCCGCUUCAAUAGACUUGUUAAGUCGAAUCCAGUAGUCCAUGGCUGUCUCUCCAUCAGCAGGCAGGAUGUUAUAGAAGUCUCUCAUCGGCAAACUGGAGAAGAUCAGCUCACCAAAGUUGCGUUUCAAAAUAUCAAAAACAGUAGAAACCAACUUGUCACUACAUGACUGAGGCUGGCAACGAAGCGACACCUGAACCACAUCUCUGGCUUUCCCAAUAAGUCUGGAUGUGAUGAUCUCACACAUUUCUACAGGGUCCACACAUCUCAUCCUUGACAGAUAGCAUCUCAUCAAACCCUCCCAUUCCUGGAUGGAGAAGGUGUCAGAGUGGUCACCUUUGAAAUAUGGAGGUGCUCUAAUAUCAGACUGAACAACAAACCUCACUUGUGACUGAUCGGUCAGGUCGCUGGGUUGGCUGUCAGCAACCUGAGACUGUGACUGACUUUGUGGGUUUAGUCCAUUGAGAUUCGUCGUAAUGGCGUCCCCAAUCUGCUUAGCCAGAUCAGCAAUCACCCCACUGAGAGCCUCAGUAGAAACAAGUUGGGUAGGGUCAGACCUUGCUUUGCCAAUGGGUGUAGAAGCAGCAGCAGGGACAGGUGGGGGGUUAAUCCCAAGCUGAUCAACAGAAAAGUCAUAUGGACUAAAAGGCAUAGGUCUACCCCUUCCAAAUGACAUGUAAUGUUGGCCCCUCCCCAAACUAAAAGUGACCUUCCGGUCCACUUCAUCACCUUUAAAAGGUACCUCAGUGUCAGACAUUUCAUCAAACAAUAACAGACAAAAACUAUGGAAAAUAACAGUGGAUCAAAAAGAAGCGAUGUCAAAAAUAAAAUGCAGAUACCCAAACAGUGUAAAAACAAAUCAGUCACACAAGAACUCAUAUGCAACAGUCAGCAAAAGAAACAAAAAAACAACCAGCCUUAUCUACAGGUAAAGGGUAAUAAACAGACUGGUUUCAUGUCUUUACAUUUUGUUUAUUAUUAUUAUUAUUUGUUGAUUGUACUGUUUUAAGAUUGAUUUUAUUGUCCCAAAACACACAAAAAAACUUUUAUAAAAUUAAAAAACUUUUUCAAUUAUUCUUCACUUAUUUCCCCUCUUCACUUGUAUAAAA